GACGAAGGAUUCAAGCGUUGUCCGGAUUUACUGGGUUUAAAGGGUGCGUAGGCGGAACUUUAAGUCAGUGGUGAAAGCUCUCGGCUCAACCGAGAAACUGCCAUUGAAACUGAUUUUCUUGAAUACAGUUGAGGUAGAUGGAAUAUAACAUGUAGCGGUGAAAUGCUUAGAUAUGUUAUAGAACACCGAUUGCGAAGGCAGUCUGCUAAGCUGUUAUUGACGCUGAGGCACGAAAGCGUGGGGAGCAAACAGGAUUAGAAACCCCUGUAGUCC
This 273-nucleotide ribosomal RNA is filed under the name uncultured bacterium. RNAcentral's name for it is "partial 16S ribosomal RNA". It matches the Rfam family "Bacterial small subunit ribosomal RNA", at positions 524 to 796 of the family's 1533-position model. The record is from RNAcentral.